Molecule: ribosomal RNA, 305 nt
Filed under: uncultured bacterium
Lineage: Bacteria
Description: bacterial SSU rRNA
Rfam family: Bacterial small subunit ribosomal RNA
Source: RNAcentral
UUGGUCCUACGGGAGGCAGCAGUGGGGAAUAUUGCACAAUGGGGGAAACCCUGAUGCAGCGACGCCGCGUGGGUGAAGAAGUACUUCGGUACGUAAAGCCCUAUCAGCAGGGAAGAAAAUGACGGUACCUGAUUAAGAAGCCCCGGCUAACUACGUGCCAGCAGCCGCGGUAAUACGUAGGGGGCAAGCGUUAUCCGGAUUUACUGGGUGUAAAGGGGGCGCAGACGGCGAUGCAAGCCAGGAGUGAAAGCCCGGGGCCCAACCCCGGGACUGCUCUUGGAACUGCGUGGCUAGAGUGCAGGCGG